ACGCACAUACACGUACAUGUAAAAUAAGCACAAUAAAAUCUAUGUAAAUAUGGGUAUGUAUCAGCCCAUCACAGUUAGAUCUUGUUCACAGAGAAAAUGUCAAAAGUUUUCCUCUUCGUUUUACUGCUAUCAGGGGCAGUCCUGAACGCUACAGCACAAUCUCAGCGUUGUCCAAUCUGUCUUCCAGUAGUGAAGAUGAUAUGUGCCUCUAACAAGAUCACGUACUGGAACGAGUGCAUAAUGCGAUGGAAAAUUUGCCGAGGCAAAAUACCGAAAGAUGUUAAAAAAAUCCACGACGGUCCUUGUCCCAAAUAGUGAAACUACGUGGAGCAACACAGCCAAUAUGAAUGGGUACUAUUGAUGUAGUAUAUACCAAAUAAAUAAAAUGAUUAACUAUA
Long non-coding RNA from Octopus sinensis (East Asian common octopus), 398 nucleotides. RefSeq lists it as uncharacterized. Lineage: Eukaryota; Metazoa; Mollusca; Cephalopoda; Octopoda; Octopodidae. The record is from RefSeq and is a predicted model, not a curated record. The transcript is spliced from 3 exons.